Molecule: non-coding RNA, 1125 nt
Organism: Carica papaya (papaya)
Lineage: Eukaryota; Viridiplantae; Streptophyta; Magnoliopsida; Brassicales; Caricaceae
Source: RefSeq, a predicted model, not a curated record
AGCGAAGUACACGUUGUUACGGGAUCACUUGUCUUGUACGUUUCCCUCUUCUUCAUGGCUCGUUAUGACACCUGUCAGUGUUACAACUAAAGUAAACAACAGAACGAGGGCAUGUCUCUAGGAACAAUCAAGACCAAGAUAAAAAGAAGAAAGAGAAAUCAAAACGCUGUGAAAAAUCGGAAGGAACUAGCCGAGAUAGGAAACUGAGCACAACUGGAAGAGUGCCCGUUCAAGAACAUAAGCACGAGGAAGGAGAAAGAGCUGGCGAAAUAGGCAAGAGAACAGCGAGAGCUACACUCGAGAAGAAGUCGAAAUCCUAAGACGAGAGACUGAAGCCAAAUUGGGAGUGAAUCAGAUAACGCCUUGGUACAAGAGACGUUUCAAAGGAAGUUACCGAGUGGAGCAGAGGCAAGGAAGGGGCUCCGGGCACUUAAACGGCUAGGAGGUUGUUCUCGAACUAGUGAGCGCAUAUAUCGGAGGAAGACGAGGUCGAUAGGAAGGUAGGGAUCAACGAGACAGCGGAGCAGCAGAGCGGCAGCAAAACUCAGGUUGUAGAGACGCGUUGAGGAAGAAGCGAAAAAUCUGAGCCAGAAGGAGUGGCUAUAAUAGAGGGUUUUUCCUAGGUUCCAAAGGAUUGGGGAGUGAAAGGGAGAACUGAUAAGAGGCGGGAAAAAGCCCUAGAAGCGAGAGGAAUCGGGGGGAGAAACUCGGAAGUGCGCAAAAUAGGGGCUUCCUCCCUUUCCUUUGGUUUUUGGUACACAAAUGAUGAAUGCUAAGGAUACUUGAGAGGUUGGGAUUUGUACCUUGCCGGGUGCAGCAGUUUUAUAUGCAUCAAUGGCUUGGAGACACAUUGGGAAGAAGGAUAUCCAUGCUAGUGUUGCUAGAGGUUUGGCUUCUACAAGACUAGGAUAUGCCACAGGGUCCAUUUCUCCAUUCAGGUUCAAGGAUGCAGCAAAAUCAAUUUCUGCUGCUUCAGAUCAUCGGAUGCAUGGUAAAUUAGGCAUUAAUACAUUCACGCUUUUCUGUGAUAGUUCUUUGCAUUUUGGUUCAAGUUGUCAAAAUUUUAUUGGCCAAUUAGUUGCCAUGCUUCUGUAGUGCAUGGAAAGAAAGAAACAAUAGAGUUUU